AGAGCUUGCUCUCUUGGCGGCGAGUGGCGGAGGGUGAGUAAUAUAUCGGAACGUGCCCAGUAGCGGGGGAUAACUACUCGAAAGAGUGGCUAAUACCGCAUACGCCCUACGGGGGAAAGGGGGGGAUCGCAAGACCUCUCACUAUUGGAGCGGCCGAUAUCGGAUUAGCUAGUUGGUGGGGUAAAGGCUCACCAAGGCAACGAUCCGUAGCUGGUUUGAGAGGACGACCAGCCACACUGGGACUGAGACACGGCCCAGACUCCUACGGGAGGCAGCAGUGGGGAAUUUUGGACAAUGGGGGAAACCCUGAUCCAGCCAUCCCGCGUGUAUGAUGAAGGCCUUCGGGUUGUAAAGUACUUUUGGCAGAGAAGAAAAGGUAUCCCCUAAUACGGGAUACUGCUGACGGUAUCUGCAGAAUAAGCACCGGCUAACUACGUGCCAGCAGCCGCGGUAAUACGUAGGGUGCAAGCGUUAAUCGGAAUUACUGGGCGUAAAGCGUGUGUAGGCGGUUCGGAAAGAAAGAUGUGAAAUCCCAGGGCUCAACCUUGGAACUGCAUUUUUUAACUGCCGAGCUAGAGUAUGUC
RNAcentral lists this ribosomal RNA (584 nucleotides) under Alcaligenes faecalis. RNAcentral describes it as "bacterial SSU rRNA". It matches the Rfam family "Bacterial small subunit ribosomal RNA", at positions 75 to 652 of the family's 1533-position model. The record is from RNAcentral. Lineage: Bacteria; Pseudomonadati; Pseudomonadota; Betaproteobacteria; Burkholderiales; Alcaligenaceae.